GCAUGGGUUUGGAUUUAUGAUGGGCCAGAUUCCCUGGGCCUCUCAUAGUACCCCAUGCCAGAGCAAACUGUAGCCCCGAACCAUUGCCUGGCCUCUAUGUCCAUAGGCUGCUGGCACUGAAAUGGGUUGCACAGUA
Molecule: small nucleolar RNA, 136 nt
Filed under: Colobus angolensis palliatus
Lineage: Eukaryota; Metazoa; Chordata; Mammalia; Primates; Cercopithecidae
Description: Small nucleolar RNA SNORA42/SNORA80 family (ENSCANG00000010955.1)
Rfam family: Small nucleolar RNA SNORA42/SNORA80 family
About the family: The members of this family belong to the H/ACA class of snoRNAs that guide the sites of modification of uridines to pseudouridines. Human ACA42 (SNORA42) was cloned from HeLa cells by immunoprecipitation with anti-GAR1 antibody.
Source: Rfam by way of RNAcentral